AAAUUGAAGAGUUUGAUCAUGGCUCAGAUUGAACGCUGGCGGCAGGCCUAACACAUGCAAGUCGAACGGUAACAGGAAGCAGCUUGCUGCUUCGCUGACGAGUGGCGGACGGGUGAGUAAUGUCUGGGGAACUGCCUGAUGGAGGGGGAUAACUACUGGAAACGGUGGCUAAUACCGCAUAACGUCGCAAGACCAAAGAGGGGGACCUUCGGGCCUCUUGCCAUCAGAUGUGCCCAGAU
Molecule: ribosomal RNA, 239 nt
Filed under: Salmonella enterica
Lineage: Bacteria; Pseudomonadati; Pseudomonadota; Gammaproteobacteria; Enterobacterales; Enterobacteriaceae
Description: partial 16S ribosomal RNA
Rfam family: Bacterial small subunit ribosomal RNA
Source: RNAcentral